UGAGGAACAUGACCUUCGGCGGGGGAUAGCCGGCCCAACGGCCGGGUAGUACCGCGUACGACCACAUGGGGACAUCCCCGAGUGGUGAAAGCAGCAAUGCGCCGAUGGAGUGCCUCGCGGCCUAUCAGCUAGUUGGUGAGGUAACGGCUCACCAAGGCGACGACGGGUAGCUGGUCUGAGAGGAUGGCCAGCCACAUUGGGACUGAGACACGGCCCAGACUCCGUAGGGAGG
Molecule: ribosomal RNA, 232 nt
Filed under: uncultured bacterium
Lineage: Bacteria
Description: partial 16S ribosomal RNA
Rfam family: Bacterial small subunit ribosomal RNA
Source: RNAcentral